UUUUCGUAUAACUCACAUGAGUUGUAAUUUUAAUUAAAACCAAACAGGGAUAAGUAACAUUCACAAUUAAUAUCAAAUUUAAAUCUACAUAUUUUCUUAUAACUCACAACUUCUAAUCAAUUUCAAGCACAUUGGUCGUUGUACUGAGGACCCAUUUGACAAUACUUGUAAAAAAGGAAAAAAAAAAAAAACCUUUUUGAAGAAGUUAUUUUAAAAUUCAAUUUUUGAUUUUAAAUGAACCUCGAGCUUGAAUAAUGUAUUAACCACGUGAAACUUUAAAAAAAAAAAAUGUCAAAGGAAGACUGACCAAUAUUAAGUGGAUGGGGCCAUGAACGGAACAAGUGGACAUGAUUACAGGUCUGCGGCAGGAGGAGAGAGGUAGGCACCGAUAACUGUCCGAUGACUCCGAUUCCAUGGCGCACAUGGUGGGAACUCAUACAAGAUUGAAAUGACAUAAAUGUCCUUGCAACAGAACUAAAGAAAUAUCAAUUUCGCAAAAUUUUGGCGAUGGUCAUCGAGUUAUUGUCAACUUGCAAAUUCUUCUUUAACCUUCUGUUUCUAUGUGCAUCUCACACUCUAAAGACUUGCAUUGACCACUUCUCCAUCCAAAAAUUUCCUAGGUUGUCUUUUUUUCUUUUUUAAAUUCUUCAUGUACUGGCUGCAUUAAAAAGUUAAAUUUAUCCUCCGUUUGACUAAUUGUUUCUAGGUUUUUACUACUCAAUUCUCAACCACUCAUUUAUCCUUGUUUAUAAAAACCUUACCAGAUAUUAUCCUUAUCGAGGAUUCAAAAUAAGAGUGAAAAUUAUGCCCCCGUCUAUGAAUGAUUAAAAUUAAAUUUUUUAGUAGAUUUUAAUAAAAGUUGAUGCG
This 867-nucleotide long non-coding RNA is filed under the name Olea europaea subsp. europaea. Lineage: Eukaryota; Viridiplantae; Streptophyta; Magnoliopsida; Lamiales; Oleaceae. The record is from RNAcentral.